RNAcentral lists this long non-coding RNA (173 nucleotides) under Macaca nemestrina (pig-tailed macaque). RNAcentral describes it as "lncRNA (ENSMNEG00000045916.1)". The record is from RNAcentral. Lineage: Eukaryota; Metazoa; Chordata; Mammalia; Primates; Cercopithecidae.
GCACUGGAUGAGGACUGAUGCUUCUUGUGUGACCUCCCAAGUAUUCAUUUAUGUAACACCUAUUGAAUGAAGACGUGUGAAGAUGGAUAUUUGAAAGUAAUGCGUUUCACUCAUUCAUGUGGAGGCUUCACCUGAUGGAUGCCUCGUUCUGUGAAUAAACUGGCGGUGUUGAU